ACACUGUCGUGCUCAUCCCUACACUGUUGCUGUUGGGACUCGAUAUGUGAAUAAUAUGGCUGGGAUAGGGUGGCCUCAGAAUCAUCGUCUCUCUCAUUUUCUCUUAGACCCCCUUCCCACUCUCCCUCAUUAGGUGCAAUAUCACCGUCAUCUCCGACGAAUUGUGGAUACGUUGGCUGGUUGCUUCCUCUUUCAUGCUGCUCAUCACCUUCUUCAAGAUCUUCCUCACCGAUAGCCUCAAGGAACGCUAUCUUGUGCAA
This 260-nucleotide long non-coding RNA is filed under the name Amborella trichopoda. Its description in RNAcentral is "long non-coding RNA (ATRI_LNC004303)". The record is from RNAcentral. Lineage: Eukaryota; Viridiplantae; Streptophyta; Magnoliopsida; Amborellales; Amborellaceae.